CGGCGGCGGCGGUGGCGCGGCCUCACUCGGCGGAGCGGCUCUUGUAGCUCUGCAGGUGGGACAGCACCCAGCCCGAGGGGACCAUGAAGCUGAGGAAGGUCACCACGAGCGCCGCAGCCUGCU
Long non-coding RNA from Myotis brandtii (Brandt's bat), 123 nucleotides. RefSeq lists it as uncharacterized. Lineage: Eukaryota; Metazoa; Chordata; Mammalia; Chiroptera; Vespertilionidae. The record is from RefSeq and is a predicted model, not a curated record. The transcript is spliced from 3 exons.